GUCCUUUUUAGUUCAUUAGCGUGAUGAUUGGGUGUUCAUACCAUUGUAUGACAUGUGCCUCCCUGUAAAUUGUUAGGAUGUCAGCACAUUACACAUCUGAGU
Molecule: small nucleolar RNA, 102 nt
Organism: Sciurus vulgaris (Eurasian red squirrel)
Lineage: Eukaryota; Metazoa; Chordata; Mammalia; Rodentia; Sciuridae
Source: Ensembl